AACGAACGCUGGCGGCAUGCCUAACACAUGCAAGUCGAACGAGACCUUCGGGUCUAGUGGCGCACGGGUGCGUAACGCGUGGGAACCUGCCCUUAGGUUCGGAAUAACUCCCCGAAAGGGGUGCUAAUACCGGAUAAUGUCUUCGGACCAAAGAUUUAUCGCCUUUGGAUGGGCCCGCGUUGGAUUAGCUAGUUGGUAGGGUAAAAGCCUACCAAGGCGACGAUCCAUAGCUGGUCUGAGAGGAUGAUCAGCCACACUGGGACUGAGACACGGCCCAGACUCCUACGGGAGGCAGCAGUGGGGAAUAUUGGACAAUGGGCGAAAGCCUGAUCCAGCAAUGCCGCGUGAGUGAUGAAGGCCCUAGGGUUGUAAAGCUCUUUUACCCGGGAUGAUAAUGACAGUACCGGGGGAAUAAGCUCCGGCUAACUCCGUG
Molecule: ribosomal RNA, 433 nt
Filed under: uncultured bacterium
Lineage: Bacteria
Description: partial 16S ribosomal RNA
Rfam family: Bacterial small subunit ribosomal RNA
Source: RNAcentral